RNAcentral lists this ribosomal RNA (490 nucleotides) under uncultured bacterium. RNAcentral describes it as "partial 16S ribosomal RNA". It matches the Rfam family "Bacterial small subunit ribosomal RNA", at positions 30 to 507 of the family's 1533-position model. The record is from RNAcentral.
AUUGAACGCUGGCGGCAUGCCUAACACAUGCAAGUCGAACGGUAACAGGCAACAGCUUGCUGUUUCGCUGCCGAGGGGCGGACGGGAGAGCAGUGCCUGGCCGACUGCCGGAUGGAGGGGGGCAACUACUGGAAUCGGUCGCCAAUCCCGCUUCACGUCACAAGAGGAAACAGCAGGACCUUCCGGGCUCUUGCCGUCAGAUGUGCCCAGAUGGGAUUAGCUAGUUGGUGGGGUAACGGCUCACCGAGCCGACGAUCCGUAGCUGGUCUGAGAGGAUGACCAGCCACACUGGAACUGAGACACGGUCCAGACUCCUACGGGAGGCAGCAGUGGGGAAUAUUGGACAAUGGGCGCAAGCCUGAUGCAGCCAUGCCGCGUGUAUGAUGAAGGCCUUCGGGUUGUAAACUGCUUUUGGCGGGAAGGAAAAGACUAAAGUUAAUACCGGUGCGUAUUGACGUUACCGGAAGAAGAAGCACCGGCUAACUACGUG